Hemibagrus wyckioides is the source of this 848-nucleotide long non-coding RNA. RefSeq lists it as uncharacterized. The transcript has 5 exons. The record is from RefSeq and is a predicted model, not a curated record. Lineage: Eukaryota; Metazoa; Chordata; Actinopteri; Siluriformes; Bagridae.
UCCACAUUGGGUCAGUGUGGGUACAGGUUUUCAUUCCAACCAAGCGGGGACCCCAUCUGAUUCCGCCUGUGUAAUCAGUCGAUCUUACAUUUCGAUGGAUUAUCAGUUGUAUUUGACUGCUACAAUAUAAUACUAAGAGGGAGGAACAUUUAUUAUUAUAAAGUAAGCAGUAGAUCAUAUCAGUGCAUCUUGUUGGUUGCUUUUCUUUUGAACCGUCAUAAUUUGAUUUGUUUCUCUUUGCUGUAAUCCAGCAUUUUACCAAUUCCUGGUGACAGAAGAUUACCUACCUGCUUUUAUCUUAUGGACCGCUUUCAUCUCCUCUUCUACGCUUAGUCCCUUAUUAUUCCAGAGCAUAGACACAAGAAGACCAUCAACAAGUUUUGCAGUGUACUGUAUUAAUAUUUCCGUGUAGGAUUUUAUUUAAUUUUGUUUUUUUGAAAGAAAUUAUUUCUGUUGUGAGUUUUCAUUUAUCAUAAAGGUGCAUGAGUUGUAGUUGGAAAAUCAGUUAAAUAAAUAAAUAAAUAAACAAACAAACAAACAAACAAUUGUCUGCCAGCAUCGUAUAAAUGCAAAGAAAAAAAUAUAAAAUGCAAAGAAAAAUGAUGUUUAAUUUACAGCAAUACCACAUUUCGUAUGCUAUAAAAGUAAUUUUGUGAUUUUUUUUUUUUUUGUGGCAAAAAUGUGUUUUUAUAUUUAGUGCACAUUAAUGUAUUAUAAAAAAUAUAUACAUAAAUAAAUAAAUAAAAAUAAAUAAAUUAAAGUCUUUUACUAGUCUAAAAUAUACAGACUAGGAAACAUUUUACACAUUUUACAUAAUCAUCGCUUCCAUAUUUGACACUUUUAUUACA